RNAcentral lists this ribosomal RNA (465 nucleotides) under Vreelandella stevensii. Its description in RNAcentral is "partial 16S ribosomal RNA". It matches the Rfam family "Bacterial small subunit ribosomal RNA", at positions 338 to 795 of the family's 1533-position model. Lineage: Bacteria; Pseudomonadati; Pseudomonadota; Gammaproteobacteria; Oceanospirillales; Halomonadaceae. The record is from RNAcentral.
CCUACGGGGGGCUGCAGUGGGGAAUAUUGGACAAUGGGGGGAACCCUGAUCCAGCCAUGCCGCGUGUGUGAAGAAGGCCCUCGGGUUGUAAAGCACUUUCAGUGAGGAAGAACGCCUGGUGGUUAAUACCCAUCAGGAAAGACAUCACUCACAGAAGAAGCACCGGCUAACUCCGUGCCAGCAGCCGCGGUAAUACGGAGGGUGCGAGCGUUAAUCGGAAUUACUGGGCGUAAAGCGCGCGUAGGUGGCUUGAUAAGCCGGUUGUGAAAGCCCCGGGCUCAACCUGGGAACGGCAUCCGGUACUGGCAAGCUAGAGUGCAGGAGAGGAAGGUAGAAUUCGCGGUGUAGCGGUGAAAUGCGUUGAGAUCGGGAGGAAUACCAGUGGCGAAGGCGGCCUUCUGGACUGACACUGACACUGAGGUGCGAAAGCGUGGGUAGCAAACAGGAUUAGAUACCCGAGUAGUC